This 1794-nucleotide unclassified non-coding RNA is filed under the name Eurytemora carolleeae. RNAcentral's name for it is "alpha-tocopherol transfer protein". Lineage: Eukaryota; Metazoa; Arthropoda; Copepoda; Calanoida; Temoridae. The record is from RNAcentral.
AGCCCUUCUCCACCCUACGCCUGUGUAUAGUGUGAAUCCCUAUACAGUAUAUACAGGCUAGACCAUGGGUUCACGGGCUCUCCUGUUGCUGAAACUACGUAGGAAAGAAUCAUGAUAAUAGCCCCGGGUUAAAUGAAGAAUGUUUCUUUAUUCAGUUCCACUUGUAACAUUGGCAGUAACACAGUAAUAUUACAAUAAACGUUGACCUGCAGCGGUUUUACAUAAGACUAAGUAGAGAUGGAAAAACGAUAUUUUAAUGAGGUGAUAAAAGAUUCUUUUGUUUUUGAACCGGGAAAUGAUUUGGACGAAACCUGGAAAACCAUUGCAUCAGAAAUUGUUAAAGAAAACGAAGAAGAAAGGGAGGCGAAGAUCUCAGAGUUCAUUAAACUGAUUCAAGCAGAUCCCCAGGUGGCAAAGUGGAAAGGUCCAGAAGAAAAGUCAAGUCGGUUUGAGGACAAACAAUGUAUGAUAAAAUUUCUGAGGGCUGGAUUGUGGAAUGUAAAAACAGCAAUGCAUAUUCUAAGACAAUACAUUGCUUCCGGUAAUCUAUAUCCUGGAAUAGUAAAAGCAUCAGUGCCUUUAAAGCUGGAGAAAGUUUGGGCCCAGAAGCUGAUUUCUGUAUCAGAUUACAGGGAUUACUAUGGCAGACGAAUUUUCUUUUAUAACCCAGGUGCCUGGAAUCCAGAUGACAUCCCUGUAAAUGAACUGUUUGCUGCUUCACAUCUAAUCUAUGAUAUGUUGGCCCAGGAGGAAAAAACUCAGAUUGCUGGAGUAACAAUGGUGUGUGAUCUGGCCGGGUUCGGAUUCAACCAAAUGAGAUCCCAUGGAAUGGAACAGAUUCGAUGUUUAACCUCCUUCAUGUCUGGUGCUUUCCCCAUCUGGGUUCACAAGAUUCAUGUUUGCAAUAAUCCUGGACUAUUCAGUGUUCUCUACAGUAUGAUGACUCCAUUACUAGACGACAGGGUCAAAGGAAACAUAAUUUUCCAUGGUUAUGAUUACACGAUGCUGCACAAAGAGAUACCACCUUUCCUUCUCUCGGAGAGCCUAGGAGGAACUGGGGAGCUAGAUAAUGAUCUAAGCCUGCAGACUGUGAAGGAGAAAAAUGAUUUCUAUGUUGAUAUGAUAAAAUGCUGGACAGCUGGAGCAGAUAUUCAUUGAUAUGAUAAAAUACUGGACAGCUGGAGCAGAUAUUCAUUGAUAUGAUAAAAUACUGGACAGCUGGAGCAGAUAUUCAUUGAUAUGAUAAAAUACUGGACAGCUGGAGCAGAUAUUCAUUGAUAUGAUAAAAAACUGGACAGCUGGAGCAGAUAUUCAUUGAUAUGAUAAAAUACUGGACAGCUGGAGCAGAUAUUCAUUGAUAUGAUAAAAUACUGGACAGUCGGAGCAGAUAUUCAUUGAUAUGAUAUUGAAAUCAUAUUCUUGCCAAAAAAUCUUUUUCAAACAUUGAGAACCAGAAUAUUGUGGAAAGACGACUUUUAGAUCAAGUUAGGAUUUUAAAUAGCUAAAUGAACAUGAUACAGAACACCCAGACAGAGCGUGUGAUUUUUAUACUUCUAGUAAACCUAUUUACUUUAAGACAACAUCAAAUACACUUAAAGAUUGAUUUGAAGUCGUCUUCUUAUUCCACCAUUUUCUGUGUCUCCCUGUAUUUUAAAACAUAACGUCUUUUUCUUAUUUUUAUGAAAAGAAUGAAAAGUUCUAUUCUUCGUAUAAAAUACCAUAUAUAUAUUUUUAUGACUGCCUGACAAUGGGUAGAAUGUUUAAUUAUUUUAUAUACAGUUAAACCCUAAAUGC